UGGCCACAUGUUGACUCAGUGGCGCUUCUCCAUGCGGGAGGGACGUACACUCUGUAAACAGGAAUGGAAAGCUAAAGUUAACUAGUUAGUCACAGAUAUGUACGUUCAGCCUGUUAAUUAUUUCAGUCCGAGUUGUCUUAUCUUACGAAGUCAGCAUGGCUUAACAUAGUUCAUUUAGUUUUUGACCUCGACAUUGUUGCUGGAAAGAUACUUUCUUAACUAACAUGCUGGCGCUGCUAGCUAGCUAAUGCUAACGGCGCUAGCUAACCUCAUAUCUGGAUGCUUCACUCUAGUUCCCGAGAGAGCAGCAUACUGAUCUGCCCACCUGCUCAGUGGGUGACAGGUCUUUCCACCAAGCUGUUCCAGGCCUGGAGUGGCAUGCUGGAACUUCCAGAGGCUUCUACACCUGAAGCAUUGUGAUGUGGUCCAGAUCUGCCAGCCCCAGCAGUUCAGCUGCAGUCUCAGCAGUCCUCUGCUGUGGUCUUUCAUUUACCGGCUGCACCAGUUCCUACUACACUGGCCGUGAAGGGAGGAACUGUUGAGGAGACCCAGAUGGAUACAGAUCUGCCUGACAGCCUCACCCAGAAGACACUGGGCCUAUCAAGACUGACAAAGCAGAGAUGGGUGGCUGACAAGGAAAAAUAAAACACAACACACACAUUAUCCACAAUGUAAAUACAUUGUAAUUACUUGUUUAUUUCAUGUUUGCUGCAUUUUAUUUGAGGAUUGGAGAGAUCUACUCCUUCAUAUCCAUUCUUAAUAUCUACAUAAUUACUCUCCAUAUCUAUCAAAUCAAAGGGGGAUUGAUAAUAUUGUAAAAGACUAUGGCUUAAUGUUUACAGUUUGAGGAAAUUGUGUGUGCUUUUUUUCUAAGUUGAAGAACAUGCCUCUCUCAACACAGACACACAUUCGACCCAAUGUAAAUACAUGGUUUAUUUUAUCUCUGCUCCAUUUUAUUUGGAGAUUGUGUGAAAUAAAAUAUAUUCACAGCUAAA
Molecule: long non-coding RNA, 995 nt
Organism: Salmo salar (Atlantic salmon)
Lineage: Eukaryota; Metazoa; Chordata; Actinopteri; Salmoniformes; Salmonidae
Source: RefSeq, a predicted model, not a curated record